RNAcentral lists this ribosomal RNA (786 nucleotides) under uncultured bacterium. Its description in RNAcentral is "bacterial SSU rRNA". It matches the Rfam family "Bacterial small subunit ribosomal RNA", at positions 100 to 917 of the family's 1533-position model. The record is from RNAcentral.
GGACGGGUGAGUAACACGUAAGAAUUUGCCUCUAGGAGGGGGAUAACAACUGGAAACGGUUGCUAAUACCCCAUAUGCUUUCGAGUGAAAUGGUUUUCCGCCUAGAGAGAAGCUUGCGGCUGAUUAGCUUGUUGGUAAGGUAAUGGCUUACCAAGGCGACGAUCAGUAUCUGGUUUGAGAGGACGAUCAGACACACUGGAACUGAGACACGGUCCAGACUCCUACGGGAGGCAGCAGUGGGGAAUUUUCCGCAAUGGGCGAAAGCCUGACGGAGCAAUCUCGCGUGAGGGAUGACGGCCUAUGGGUUGUAAACCUCUUUUUUCAGGGAGGAAUAAAUGACGUGUACCUGAAGAAUAAGCAUCGGCUAACUCCGUGCCAGCAGCCGCGGUAAGACGGAGGAUGCAAGUGUUAUCCGGAAUCACUGGGCGUAAAGCGUCUGUAGGUGGUUUAAUAAGUCAACUGUUAAAUCUUGAAGCUCAACUUCAAAAUCGCAGUCGAAACUAUUAGACUAGAGUAUAGUAGGGGUAAAGGGAAUUUCCAGUGGAGCGGUGAAAUGCGUAGAGAUUGGAAAGAACACCGAUGGCGAAGGCACUUUACUGGGCUAUUACUGACACUCAGAGACGAAAGCUAGGGUAGCAAAUGGGAUUAGAUACCCCAGUAGUCCUAGCCGUAAACAAUGGAUACUAGAUGUUGAACAGAUCGACCUGUGCAGUAUUAAAGCUAACGCGUUAAGUAUCCCGCCUGGGAAGUAUGCUCGCAAGAGUGAAACUCAAAGGAAUUGACGGG